Molecule: ribosomal RNA, 497 nt
Filed under: uncultured bacterium
Lineage: Bacteria
Description: partial 16S ribosomal RNA
Rfam family: Bacterial small subunit ribosomal RNA
Source: RNAcentral
GAUGAACGCUGGCGGCGUGCCUAAUACAUGCAAGUCGAGCGAACAGAUAAGGAGCUUGCUCCUUUGACGUUAGCGGCGGACGGGUGAGUAACACGUGGGUAACCUACCUAUAAGACUGGGAUAACUUCGGGAAACCGGAGCUAAUACCGGAUAACAUUUGGAACCGCAUGGUUCUAAAGUGAAAGAUGGUUUUACUAUCACUUAUAGAUGGACCCGCGCCGUAUUAGCUAGUUGGUAAGGUAACGGCUUACCAAGGCGACGAUACGUAGCCGACCUGAGAGGGUGAUCGGCCACACUGGAACUGAGACACGGUCCAGACUCCUACGGGAGGCAGCAGUAGGGAAUCUUCCGCAAUGGGCGAAAGCCUGACGGAGCAACGCCGCGUGAGUGAUGAAGGGUUUCGGCUCGUAAAACUCUGUUAUUAGGGAAGAACAAAUGUGUAAGUAACUGUGCACGUCUUGACGGUACCUAAUCAGAAAGCCACGGCUAACUACGUG